This 253-nucleotide ribosomal RNA is filed under the name uncultured bacterium. RNAcentral's name for it is "partial 16S ribosomal RNA". It matches the Rfam family "Bacterial small subunit ribosomal RNA", at positions 524 to 776 of the family's 1533-position model. The record is from RNAcentral.
UACAGAGGGGGCAAGCGUUAUUCGGAAUUAUUGGGCGUAAAGGGCGCGUAGGCGGCUUGGCAAGUGGAAGGUGAAAUCCCUCGGCUUAACCGAGGAACUGCCCUCCAAACUGCUUCGCUUGAGACCGGGAGAGGUGAGUGGAAUUCCCAGUGUAGCGGUGAAAUGCGUAGAUAUUGGGAGGAACACCAGUGGCGAAGGCGGCUCACUGGACCAUAACUGACGCUGAUGCACGAAAGCUAGGGGAGCAAACAGG